Molecule: non-coding RNA, 1268 nt
Organism: Delphinapterus leucas (beluga whale)
Lineage: Eukaryota; Metazoa; Chordata; Mammalia; Artiodactyla; Monodontidae
Source: RefSeq, a predicted model, not a curated record
UAUGACGUGGACUUUAAGACUUUGGAUUCCAUCUGAAGUACUUGAUUGAAGAAAUUAAGAAUGAUCUCAAUACAAGACUUCUUUGCUUAUAACUUGCUCCUUAAGUUAGUUUCCUUCCUGGUUCGUCUACUAUAAUACAUCCCACAUGGUCAUGGUUUCAAAUUGCACAAUUAUUUUAUUGUAGUUUGAAUCAAAUUCAGGGUGAAAGUUAUAUAGACUUUUGAUAUUAGAAAAUAUGUAAAUGAGAUAGUAUCAUUCAUAUUAUAUAUUGAGGCAUUUCAGGAACAAAGAGGUCAAAUACUUGGUUGAAAGUCAGUAAGUCAGUUAUAGCAUCUCUCAUUACUCAAUUAGCUUAGCCCAGUUUGAAAAUGUAGUGCCAUUUAUGCAUGUUCUCUUUGUUUGAUGCACUUUCAGUUGGUUAGCACUCUCCAGGCCUUCUAAUGUGGAGUUACUCUCCUUUCUUAUUAGGUCUUCAACUUUCAUAUAGAAGUCAGAUUCAUACAUUCAUUCUAGGAGUAAAUACUUUUUAUUUGAUAAAUAAUGUUGAACUGAGCUACAUGCCAGGCAUUCUGCCAGGUACUCAGGAUUCAAAGAUGAGCAAAACAAAUUUGAUCCGACCAAGAGUUGCCAUCUGGUCAUUUGUCUCUUUGUUUAAUAUCUGAAUCCUCCAUUAGACUGUAAGCUUCAUGGGGUCAGAUGUUUUUUUUGUGUACCGUUGUAUGUCCUCUGGCCAGUAGAGUGGUGCUAUAAUAUUAACUGAAUGAAAGAGGAGAACAGUAGUACGAGUUUAAGUAAGACAAUUUUGGCUGUGAAGAGGGGAGGGAAGAGGGAGAAUUUGACACUCAAGGCACUGCUAGCAUCAGUCUUGGCCGUGCUCUUCUGCCAAAGGGAGUGGAAAGGUCCAGGCAGAAGAAAGACAGAAACCCCCAGCAAUGUGAAGGCCUGAGAGAACUGUCUCAGAAAAACAUCCAUUACCAAACAGGAAUUGGCUCAUAUGAUUAUGGAAGAAUGUCAAGAUCUGAAGCUGACAAGCUGAAGACUCAGGAGAGCCAAUGGUCAACUUCCAGUCGGAAGGCAAGAGAAGAGCUGUGUUCCAGCUCAAAGACAGCUAUGCUGCUGACUUCCUGGCAGAAUGGAUGCUCCUUCUUUCCCUCCUCUCCUCCUCCUCCUUCUCGUUGUUUGACACCUGUGUGGUUCCAGCUGAAUUAAUUCAACUCUACCUCCAAGAGUAUGUUCCCAACUCUACCUCCAAGAGUAUGUUCCGCAGG